Long non-coding RNA from Homo sapiens (human), 439 nucleotides. RefSeq lists it as uncharacterized. The record is from RefSeq and is a predicted model, not a curated record. Lineage: Eukaryota; Metazoa; Chordata; Mammalia; Primates; Hominidae. The transcript is spliced from 2 exons.
CUUUGGAGGAUCUGAACUCCAAUUCUGUUUGCACACUAGAGGCCCUGUUGCUGUCUGCUAUGAUUCAACAGCCCUGUUCCCUAACUGUCCUCAGGGUGCUCAGUUUUCUUCUCUUGGAGAUUGAGUACCUCAGUUCUGGAGACUGGAAAAUCCAAAACCACGGCACCAGCAUCUGGUGAAGAUCUUUUCAUGGCAAGAGAGAAAACACAUGCAUGUCAGCUCAAAUCUCUUUCUCUUUUAAUAAUGUUGCUAGUCCCAUCAUGGAGGCCCCAGCCUUAUGACCUUAUCUAAUGCUAAUUACAUCCAAAAGGCUCCACCUCCAAUCAACAUAUGAAUUUGGAAAUUAGGUUUCCAAUACGUGAAAUUUGGGAAAUGUAUUUAAACCACAAACAGCCAGUUUAAAAGAUUUUGCAUUGAAUAAUAAAAGUGAACCAACAAA